RNAcentral lists this transfer RNA (72 nucleotides) under Ipomoea nil (Japanese morning glory). It matches the Rfam family "tRNA". Rfam says of the family: Transfer RNA (tRNA) molecules are approximately 80 nucleotides in length. Their secondary structure includes four short double-helical elements and three loops (D, anti-codon, and T loops). The record is from Rfam by way of RNAcentral. Lineage: Eukaryota; Viridiplantae; Streptophyta; Magnoliopsida; Solanales; Convolvulaceae.
UCCGUUAUAGUCUAGUUGGUUAGGAUAUUUGCUCUCAUCCAAAAAACCUGGGUUUGAUUCCUAGCAACAGAG